RNAcentral lists this unclassified non-coding RNA (352 nucleotides) under soil metagenome. RNAcentral's name for it is "partial contains 5.8S ribosomal RNA, internal transcribed spacer 2, and large subunit ribosomal RNA". The stretch from base 1 to 120 matches the Rfam family "5.8S ribosomal RNA", at positions 35 to 154 of the family's 154-position model. The record is from RNAcentral.
GAUGAAGAACGUAGCGAAAUGCGAUAAGUAAUGUGAAUUGCAGAAUUCAGUGAAUCAUCGAAUCUUUGAACGCACAUUGCGCCCGCCAGUAUUCUGGCGGGCAUGCCUGUUCGAGCGUCAUUUCAACCCUCAGGCCCCCAGUGCCUGGUGUUGGGGAUCGGCCCAGCCUUCCUGUAAGGCCGCCGGCCCCGAAAUCUAGUGGCGGUCUCGCUGUAGUCCUCCUCUGCGUAGUAGCACAACCUCGCAGUUGGAACGCGGCGGUGGCCAUGCCGUAAAACACCCCACUUCUGAAAGUUGACCUCGGAUCAGGUAGGAAUACCCGCUGAACUUAAGCAUAUCAAUAAGCGGAGGA